This 269-nucleotide long non-coding RNA is filed under the name Cyanistes caeruleus (blue tit). RNAcentral's name for it is "lncRNA (ENSCCEG00000013825.1)". The record is from RNAcentral. Lineage: Eukaryota; Metazoa; Chordata; Aves; Passeriformes; Paridae.
AGAGCCUGAGCAAAGCUGUGAAGUCUGGAGGAUAACUGUUAGCUUUCCUACAUCCUGCAAGGAUGGUGGGUUAGCUCCUGAGUCUGACAUAUUGCUGGUCCUGUUGGAGGACUUCUGAGAAUAUUCAAGAGAUUCCAGGUGAACACCCUCCACUUUCGGAUGACUUAAUUUUUCAGGUUGGAUGGCAGGGAAAGAAGCUGGAAUGAGAUUAGACUUGGUUUAAGAUUGACUGAAAAUGAAAAUUUUUAAGGUAAGUGGCCAAGUUGUCC